This is an RNA transcript of Salvia miltiorrhiza (redroot sage), 5657 nucleotides long. It is a transcript of the gene named telomerase reverse transcriptase, with no coding region annotated. The transcript is spliced from 17 exons. NCBI's taxonomy places the organism in Eukaryota, Viridiplantae, Streptophyta, Magnoliopsida, Lamiales, Lamiaceae. The record is from RefSeq and is a predicted model, not a curated record.
AGUUUUUGUUGCUUCAAUAAAAUUGUGCAUAUUAUUUUGAUGUGCUUGAUUUUGGAGUUGGAUGGGGAUUCGGAGGUUUGAUACUCUAAAUCUUCUGUUAGAUAACAAAAAAAUUGAGCAGAGAAAAAUGGGGAAAGACAAGAUUUUGGAUUCAUAUAAUCACGAUUGUUAUUGAUUUUUUAUUUGUUUAGGAGCUGGUUUGUCAAGUGUUUAUUAUUAUUUUUUUUUGUUAUCCAUCUGCAUGUCCUCUGUUGAUUUAUAUAGACUAAAUAUAGAGUAACUUUUAACAAUUCAUAGUAAUGAAAAUGAAGCAAAUAAUAAUUAGUGAUGAGUAACAAGUCUGGAAAUAUAUAGUAGUAACGUAAGUUUGAAGAAGCACUAGCUAGUACCUGGAAAUCUAAUUAACCUGCCAGCCGAUACAAGGUAAUGAUAUGAACAAAAUAGAGUUUUUUUUAAUUCAACGCAGAGCUCCCCGAUUAUAUGGAGUCAUAAUCAAUGAACGAAUAGUUGCAUUCUCCCAUGUUAUUGUAUUUGGUAUGUGUUGAGAAUGGUGUAUCAAAAUAAAUUCAUACCAUUAAUUGACUUGAUUUUUACUUUAAAGUUGGCCUCAUAGUUGUCCCUUUUCCUCAAGCAAUUAUUUGAAUUGGUGAAUUCCAACGGUACCCUUCCCUCCCUCUUCUCUUUUAUGCAACUCGAAAUUUCUGUGAAUACACCCUCGGCAUUGAUGGCGGCGAAGAAGAGAAAGAGAGUUCCGGAGGUUCUUUGGAGGCUGUUUGAAAAUCAGGCGCGAACUCUUGCUGACACCAUCGCGGCCUUGAUCCCUCCUCCGUCGGACACAGCCACCGACAAAGCCAUGUCGUUCCUCGUCAGAUCGGGAGAUCCGUUGGACUACCGCAAGCUCCUAUCCGAAUGUUUUGUGGUUGUCUCCGAAGAUGCCCCUUCCAUUCCCGUCUUCGAUCCUCACCGGCGUUGGUCGCAAUGCGAGAUUGUCAGAAGAUCGAUUGAAAUAAUACUGCAUGAACAACCAUCCUCAUCAAAUCUCAUAUGCUGCAAUUAUGAUAAAGAGAGCCGUUCAAGUCCUGUGGUUGAUGAACUGUCAUCCUCAAAGUGGACUCUCCUCUUGACAAGGGUUGGUGAUGCUGUCAUGAUGUAUCUGUUGAAGUAUACAUCAAUGUUUUGUCCUCUUCCCCAUAAGAAGCAUCAUCAAAUUUCUGGUUGUCCUAUUGACUCUUUGUGUUCCAAGUUCUCCAAAGACAUGCCUAAGUCUAGAGUUUAUCCAUGUGCAUAUGCAGGAUACAAGGCUAAGAGACAACGGGUUGAGGGAGACAGGAAACAAAUAUGUCCAUGCACUUUAGAUCCUGAGCCUUCUUCAAACUCGAUUAGCUUUGCCACAAGUAAUGGGUCUACUUAUGUUUUUGAAGAAGUUCCUCAUAUUCAAAGUAAAGUAAACUCUCGAAAGCGUACACGGGAGUAUCGCUGGCAGCGUCAAAGAAAGCGUAAGCAGUUAGCUGUUUCAGAAACACCUUCUUUGCUCCCAUCUAAAGGAACGCCUUCAAGUUCAAAUCAAAGUGACAUGGAUAACACGGCCAAUUGCUCUUGCUGUUCAGUUUUCCAAAAUCAACCAAUGAUGAAAGGAAAUAUUGAGAUUGAUAGAAAGAACAUAUUCUAUAGGAUAGAGAAUUGUUCAUCAAUAUUGCCAAGGAAGCACAUGUUGCAUACUAUAAAGCCUAAUGAGAUUGGAGCUUCCAUUUUGUUCAAUAAUAUAUUUGAAGCAUUUGGUCCCGACAAAAAUGUUGGGAGCACACCAUGUUGUCGCACCAAAAAUGGUUGUCCUGUCAAUUCCACGUGUUUGUAUCAUUCCCUUACAAAGCUACUAAAAUUUUUUAUACGGGAGAGUCGAAACUGUAGACAUGCAAGGCUGUUGGAGAAACACUGUUCUGUAAGAUCCUCAUACCAAGAUGCUAGUAGGGGAGCUGGCACUGUGCUUGAGGUUGCUAUGGCCAAAAAUUGGACUAUGAUUCAAGAAACCAACACUACUCAGGUUGAACCCAUUAUGUGUUGUCUCAAGAAUCAAGUUGUAUCAUUCGUUUGGGCGAUUUGUAGGAGAAUAGUCCCUUCACAGUUGUUGGGAGAACGAUCUAAUUGGAGAAGUUUGAGGAGAAACAUCUCAAAGUUCAUUCAGUUACGAAGAUUUGAGAAGUUCUCGCUAAAGGAAUGCAUUUAUAAAGUCAAAAUAUCGAAGUUCCCUAUCUUCUCAAAUAAGCAUAACGGAUGUCUUGGUAUUACAGAUACUGCCAGACACGCAAUUUUUGAAUGCUGGAUGAUUUGGUUUUUUGAAAAGAUAGUAUCGCAAUUGCUGCAAGCUAACUUUUACAUUACAGAGAGUGAACACGAGAAGCAGGAAGUUAUAUAUUUUCGAAAGUCUAUUUGGGAACAAUUGAUGAGUGAGAAUGAGUGCUUGAAUCGGUAUCGCCUAUUAAAUCAUGAGUCUGUUAGAGUCGUAUUAUGGCAGAGAUCUUUUGGUUUCUCUAGGGCAAGACUACGUCCCAAGAGUAAGGGAUUCCGAAUGCUGACUAAUCUUCGAGCACCAUCUAGAUUUCCCAUAGACUCACCUCCUAGAACCCACUCCUGUCAAAAGUUAUGGACAAAAGUAUCUUGUAGUCAUAGAGUUGCACAUCGGUUUUUCAAGUCUGUUAACAGUGUACUCAAUGACGUGCAUGUAGUUUUAUCAGGUUUACGGGUAAAUGAACCAAAAAAGUUGGGUUCAUCGGUUUUUGACUACAAUGAUAUUUACAAAAAACUUGUUCCCUUCUUGUUACAUCUGAAAAACGGGACACCUAGCAUGCCAAAUGUAUUCAUGGUAGUGUCAGAUGUGUCGAAAGCUUUUGACUCAGUUGAUCAUAAAAAAUUGCUCAGUGUGAUGGAGGAUGUCAUAUGUGAUGAUGAAUAUACUUUGGAAAAGUUCACCCAAGUUGUUUGCACAAGUAAGUGUUUGAAGGUCGAUCCUCAUGUGAUGUUAGCACAUCAAGAUAUUCGUAUUGCAUCUACAAGAAUCAGAUCACGAAUUCGGGUCCAGUCGUUUCAUAGUAUUCUUGUUAAGAAGGAAGUGAGCAGGAAAAUAAGAAAGGAAGAAAUUCAUUCACUUUUGAAGGAGCACAUUAUGGGCAAUGUGGUGCAACUAAGGAAUAGGUUUUAUCAGCAACUAGUUGGUAUACCUCAAGGAAGUAUUUUGUCAUCUUUACUGUGUUCAUAUUAUUAUGGGCACAUGGAAAUGAUUGAAAUUUUUCCAUUUCUUAAGAAAGCUAUCUUGUUGGAAAAACAACCUUCUUCCGACAGUACUUCAGCUUCAGAAGGCAACCACAAAACUAAAAUAGUUGUACCUGGUUGUGAAUCUCUUCUACUUAGAUUCAUGGAUGAUUACAUUUUUAUAUCAGCUUCAAAGUAUCAGGCCUCUCAGUUCUUCACCCGAUUGGAAAGAGGAGUUCAUGCUUACAACUGCUACAUGAAUAAGGAGAAAUAUGGUCUAAAUUUUGUCAUGGACAAUCAACAAGGCAACCUGUCAAACAGGCUACAUAUGGGCAAAGAUAAUAUCUCAUUUCUUCCUUGGAGUGGCCUGCUUGUCAACUGCUCCACAUUAGAAAUUCAAGCUGACUAUACAAGGUACCUAAAUUAUCAUCUGAGUUCAACUCUAACAGUAUGCCGUAAAGGCAAUUUGGGAAAACACUUGAAGGCAAAGUUGAGAAGUUAUCUUAGGCCAAAAUGUCAUCCUAUAUUCUAUGAUUCCAACAUCAAUUCCCCAGGGGUGGUUAGACUCAACAUCUAUCAAGCCUUUCUCCUCUGUGCCAUGAAAUUCAUUUGCCACCUCUCCAACUUGUCAAUUCUGCCAAGAUUUCACCCCAAAUUCCUUCUCAAAGCUAUAGAGACUUCUCUGAGGUACAUGAACAGGUUGAUCAGGAGGAGAAUAUAUUCCUUUAAAGGUGCUGAUUUUCGUCCUAAAUACGAUGUGAAAAGGAAGGAUGUUAUCUGGCUGGGGUUAUAUGCUUACAGACGGGUGUUGCUGAAGAAGCAUUCGCGAUACAAGACUCUGCUUCGUCUCUUCAGCUCCAAAUUGAAGCCUUAUGGUGAGGUGGAAAAUAUGCCAUCUGAGUUGAAGUAUGCUGUUGAUGAUGUGCAUUCUUCCGUGCUUUGGAGCAUCAAAUAUUGAUUUGUGAGAUUGAAGAUUAGCACCAGACCUGUUCUCUAGUAUGUAUGUAAUGUUUUUGGCCUACUUAUUCAAGUUUAUCCAUUUUAGGAACCUUUUACAAAUUUAUGUUCAAUAGGUGCCAAAGAUAAAUAUAAAAGGCCUACAAACUCAACUUUGCUACCUGUUAUGAAUCUGUAUUUUCUUAAAAGGCCUCUUUUUUCGCAGAGUCUUCAGAGAGGAAAUCUGCCUCCAUUGAAGAUUUUUCAUCCCUGGACUUAAAAACGCCUUGAUUUACUUUCCUACUGGAGAGUUGGCUUCUCAAACAGAGAAAGUGAUAUUGGCAAUUGGUGACUAUAUAAAUGUAAAAGGUCAUGCUUGUGUUGGAGGCAAGAGUGUGGGCGAGGAUAUAAGAAAACUAGAGCAUGGAGUUCAGGUGGUGUAAGGUACUCAUGGUAGAGAUUGUGACAUGAUCAACUGCAUUUUUAAAUUUAAUCUAUAAUGGGGGUAUGAAAUUAAAAACUCUGGCUAGGAAAAACACCUAAUAAUCCUAUGUAUUUGAAUACAUGAAUUUAUGAUUUGAAUAAAUGAUCUGUUAUCAUUCUCAAGUAUGCAUUUGUCUCUAUAAAAUUGGUUCUUGUCUGAUGUAGCUGUACAAACUGGUGCAAUAUUUUAUCUGAACUCUAGAUGGUUUGGUUUCUCGAGGCACCUUUAGUUAAGUUAUUAAGCAUCUGGAAUAUAUUGAGGAUGGUGGUGUGGAGGUGGCGCCUUCCAAAUAGUAAAGCAUUUUGCAGUGGGUUGAAGGAUUUGAAUCUUGAAUUUGAUGCCACAUUAAAUCCCUCCUUGUUCCAACAGAUAAUUUGUUUUCCAUACAAUUUCUAAAAUGUUUACUAAAACGAGUUAUAUGUGUCUUUGAGCAAAGAAGAACUUUUUGAAUCAUCUAUUGGAUAACUUUGAGAGCAGAGUCGAAAAGCAUUAUAUUGAAACUGUAACAGUUCCUCCACUCACUGCAUCGACAAGCGGCCCAAAGAUGUCUAUGUUUGCAAAAAGACCUGGAUUUGUUAUUCCAAAAACAAGCUAUCAGGUUCAUUGGUAUAGAGGCUCUAAAAAGAGAGAUGCUGACUCGAUCAGUGAGGAAGCUACUAAGCAGGUGCAGAGGAAAACCAAAUGGGGACUUGAUCUAACUAUGGAUACCACUGUUCGGAAAGGAAGAGCCUUGGCAUAUCAGAUGCGGAUUGAUCAAAUAUCUCAAAUACUGACUUUUGGGGUGCUGGAACUUGAGGAUAGUGAAGAUUUAUUUGCUACAUUGGAAUCUCACCAUUGGAAGACAUCAGAUCAUCAGCUUAGCCGUGAGGAAUUGGAACAGCUGGAACUUGAAUAGCGUGAAAUUAUAGGUGAAAUACUAAAACUAAAUCCAUCAUUCAAGCCUCCUACUGAUUAAAAACCUCUGCUGAAAGAGGCGAAAGUUACAAUUCCU